GGGCCGUUAGCUCAGUUGGCAGAGCAGGGGACUUUUAAUCCCAAGGCCCGGGGUUCGAAUCCCCGACGGCCCACCA
This 76-nucleotide transfer RNA is filed under the name Coriobacteriia bacterium. RNAcentral's name for it is "tRNA-Lys". It matches the Rfam family "tRNA". From Rfam's summary of the family: Transfer RNA (tRNA) molecules are approximately 80 nucleotides in length. Their secondary structure includes four short double-helical elements and three loops (D, anti-codon, and T loops). Further hydrogen bonds mediate the characteristic L-shaped molecular structure. tRNAs have two regions of fundamental functional importance: the anti-codon, which is responsible for specific mRNA codon recognition, and the 3' end, to which the tRNAs corresponding amino acid is attached (by aminoacyl-tRNA synthetases). tRNAs cope with the degeneracy of the genetic code in two manners: having more than one tRNA (with a specific anti-codon) for a particular amino acid; and 'wobble' base-pairing, i.e. permitting non-standard base-pairing at the 3rd anti-codon position. RNAcentral also lists the same sequence under 1 other name. Lineage: Bacteria; Bacillati; Actinomycetota; Coriobacteriia. The record is from RNAcentral.